Molecule: ribosomal RNA, 433 nt
Filed under: uncultured bacterium
Lineage: Bacteria
Description: partial 16S ribosomal RNA
Rfam family: Bacterial small subunit ribosomal RNA
Source: RNAcentral
AACGAACGCUGGCGGCAUGCCUAACACAUGCAAGUCGAACGAGACCUUCGGGUCUAGUGGCGCACGGGUGCGUAACGCGUGGGAACCUGCCCUUAGGUUCGGAAUAACUCCCCGAAAGGGGUGCUAAUACCGGAUAAUGUCUUCGGACCAAAGAUUUAUCGCCUUUGGAUGGGCCCGCGUUGGAUUAGCUAGUUGGUAGGGUAAAAGCCUACCAAGGCGACGAUCCAUAGCUGGUCUGAGAGGAUGCUCAGCCACACUGGCACUGAGACACGGCCCAGACUCCUACGGGAGGCAGCAGUGGGGAAUAUUGGACAAUGGGCGAAAGCCUGAUCCAGCAAUGCCGCGUGAGUGAUGAAGGCCUUAGGGUUGUAAAGCUCUUUUACCCGGGAUGAUAAUGACAGUACCGGGAGAAUAAGCUCCGGCUAACUCCGUG